UACGGAGGAUGCGAGCGUUAUCCGGAUUUAUUGGGUUUAAAGGGUGCGUAGGCGGAUCGUUAAGUCAGUGGUCAAAUUGAGGGGCUCAACCCCUUCCCGCCAUUGAAACUGGCGAUCUUGAGUGGAAGAGAAGUAUGCGGAAUGCGUGGUGUAGCGGUGAAAUGCAUAGAUACCACGCAGAACCCCGAUUGCGAAGGCAGCAUGCCGGCUUCCUACUGACGCUGAAGCACGAAAGCGUGGGGAUCGAACAGG
This 252-nucleotide ribosomal RNA is filed under the name uncultured bacterium. RNAcentral's name for it is "partial 16S ribosomal RNA". It matches the Rfam family "Bacterial small subunit ribosomal RNA", at positions 524 to 776 of the family's 1533-position model. The record is from RNAcentral.